GUACUGCUGUAGAGUUGCAAACUGGGACGAAACAGCUGUCCAGUAC
Molecule: non-coding RNA, 46 nt
Organism: Trichobilharzia regenti
Lineage: Eukaryota; Metazoa; Platyhelminthes; Trematoda; Strigeidida; Schistosomatidae
Source: Rfam